UACGUAGGGGGCAAGCGUUGUCCGGAUUCAUUGGGCGUAAAGAGCGUGUAGGCGGCCAGGUAGGUCGGUUGUGAAAACUGGAGGCUCAACCUUCAGACGUCGACCGAAACCAUCUGGCUAGAGUCCGGGAGAGGAGAGUGGAAUUCCUGGUGUAGCGGUGAAAUGCGCAGAUAUCAGGAAGAACACCCGUGGCGAAAGCGGCUCUCUGGAACGGUACUGACGCUGAUGCACGAAAGCGUGGGGAGCAAACAGG
RNAcentral lists this ribosomal RNA (253 nucleotides) under uncultured bacterium. RNAcentral describes it as "partial 16S ribosomal RNA". It matches the Rfam family "Bacterial small subunit ribosomal RNA", at positions 524 to 776 of the family's 1533-position model. The record is from RNAcentral.